AGAGUUUGAUCCUGGCUCAGAACGAACGCUGGCGGCAGGCCUAACACAUGCAAGUCGAGCGCACCGCAAGGUGAGCGGCGGACGGGUUAGUAACGCGUGGGAACCUACCCUUUACUAUGGAAUAGCCUCGGGAAACUGAGAGUAAUACCAUAUACGCCCUUCGGGGGAAAGAUUUAUCGGUAAAGGAUGGGCCCGCGUCUGAUUAGAUAGUUGGUGGGGUAAUGGCCUACCAAGUCUACGAUCAGUAGCUGGUUUGAGAGGAUGAUCAGCAACACUGGGACUGAGACACGGCCCAGACUCCUACGGGAGGCAGCAGUGGGGAAUCUUAGACAAUGGGCGCAAGCCUGAUCUAGCCAUGCCGCGUGAGUGAUGAAGGCCUUAGGGUCGUAAAGCUCUUUCGCUGGGGAAGAUAAUGACGGUACCCAGUAAAGAACCCC
This 437-nucleotide ribosomal RNA is filed under the name uncultured Loktanella sp. RNAcentral's name for it is "bacterial SSU rRNA". It matches the Rfam family "Bacterial small subunit ribosomal RNA", at positions 8 to 493 of the family's 1533-position model. Lineage: Bacteria; Pseudomonadati; Pseudomonadota; Alphaproteobacteria; Rhodobacterales; Roseobacteraceae. The record is from RNAcentral.